GGUUAAGCGACUAAGCGUACACGGUGGAUGCCCUGGCAGUCAGAGGCGAUGAAGGACGUGCUAAUCUGCGAAAAGCGUCGGUAAGGUGAUAUGAACCGUUAUAACCGGCGAUGUCCGAAUGGGGAAACCCAGUGCAAUUCGUUGCACUAUCGUUAACUGAAUACAUAGGUUAACGAGGCGAACCGGGGGAACUGAAACAUCUAAGUACCCCGAGGAAAAGAAAUCAACCGAGAUUCCCCCAGUAGCGGCGAGCGAACGGGGAGCAGCCCAGAGUCUGAAUCAGCUUGUGUGUUAGUGGAACGGUCUGGAAAGUCCGACGGUACAGGGUGAUAGUCCCGUACACCAAAAUGCACAGGCUGUGAACUCGAAGAGUAGGGCGGGACACGUGGUAUCCUGUCUGAAUAUGGGGGGACCAUCCUCCAAGGCUAAAUACUCCUGACUGACCGAUAGUGAACCAGUACCGUGAGGGAAAGGCGAAAAGAACCCCGGCGAGGGGAGUGAAAAAGAACCUGAAACCGUGUACGUACAAGCAGUGGGAGCACCUUCGGGUGUGACUGCGUACCUUUUGUAUAAUGGGUCAGCGACUUAUAUUCUGUAGCAAGGUUAACCGUAUAGGGGAGCCGCAGGGAAACCGAGUCUUAACUGGGCGUUAAGUUGCAGGGUAUAGACCCGAAACCCGGUGAUCUAGCCAUGGGCAGGUUGAAGGUUGGGUAACACUAACUGGAGGACCGAACCGACUAAUGUUGAAAAAUUAGCGGAUGACUUGUGGCUGGGGGUGAAAGGCCAAUCAAACCGGGAGAUAGCUGGUUCUCCCCGAAAGCUAUUUAGGUAGCGCCUCGUGAAUUCAUCUUCGGGGGUAGAGCACUGUUUCGGCUAGGGGGUCAUCCCGACUUACCAACCCGAUGCAAACUACGAAUACCGAAGAAUGUUAUCACGGGAGACACACGGCGGGUGCUAACGUCCGUCGUGAAGAGGGAAACAACCCAGACCGCCAGCUAAGGUCCCAAAGUCAUGGUUAAGUGGGAAACGAUGUGGGAAGGCACAGACAGCCAGGAUGUUGGCUUAGAAGCAGCCAUCAUUUAAAGAAAGCGUAAUAGCUCACUGGUCGAGUCGGCCUGCGCGGAAGAUGUAACGGGGCUAAACCAUGCACCGAAGCUGCGGCAGCGACACUAUGUGUUGUUGGGUAGGGGAGCGUUCUGUAAGCCUGCGAAGGUGACCUGUGAGGGUUGCUGGAGGUAUCAGAAGUGCGAAUGCUGACAUAAGUAACGAUAAAGCGGGUGAAAAGCCCGCUCGCCGGAAGACCAAGGGUUCCUGUCCAACGUUAAUCGGGGCAGGGUGAGUCGACCCCUAAGGCGAGGCCGAAAGGCGUAGUCGAUGGGAAACAGGUUAAUAUUCCUGUACUUGGUGUUACUGCGAAGGGGGGACGGAGAAGGCUAUGUUAGCCGGGCGACGGUUGUCCCGGUUUAAGCAUGUAGGCUGGUUGUCCAGGCAAAUCCGGAUAAUCAAGGCUGAGGUGUGAUGACGAGGCACUACGGUGCUGAAGUAACAAAUGCCCUGCUUCCAGGAAAAGCCUCUAAGCAUCAGGUAACAUCAAAUCGUACCCCAAACCGACACAGGUGGUCAGGUAGAGAAUACCAAGGCGCUUGAGAGAACUCGGGUGAAGGAACUAGGCAAAAUGGUGCCGUAACUUCGGGAGAAGGCACGCUGGUGUGUAGGUGAAGUCCCUGCGGAUGGAGCUGAGACCAGUCGAAGAUACCAGCUGGCUGCAACUGUUUAUUAAAAACACAGCACUGUGCAAACACGAAAGUGGACGUAUACGGUGUGACGCCUGCCCGGUGCCGGAAGGUUAAUUGAUGGGGUUAUCCGUAAGGAGAAGCUCUUGAUCGAAGCCCCGGUAAACGGCGGCCGUAACUAUAACGGUCCUAAGGUAGCGAAAUUCCUUGUCGGGUAAGUUCCGACCUGCACGAAUGGCGUAAUGAUGGCCAGGCUGUCUCCACCCGAGACUCAGUGAAAUUGAACUCGCUGUGAAGAUGCAGUGUACCCGCGGCAAGACGGAAAGACCCCGUGAACCUUUACUAUAGCUUGACACUGAACAUUGAGCCUUGAUGUGUAGGAUAGGUGGGAGGCUUUGAAGCGUGGACGCCAGUCUGCGUGGAGCCAACCUUGAAAUACCACCCUUUAAUGUUUGAUGUUCUAACGUUGGCCCCUUACCGGGGUUGCGGACAGUGUCUGGUGGGUAGUUUGACUGGGGCGGUCUCCUCCCAAAGCGUAACGGAGGAGCACGAAGGUUAGCUAAUCCUGGUCGGACAUCAGGAGGUUAGUGCAAUGGCAUAAGCUAGCUUGACUGCGAGCGUGACGGCGCGAGCAGGUGCGAAAGCAGGUCAUAGUGAUCCGGUGGUUCUGAAUGGAAGGGCCAUCGCUCAACGGAUAAAAGGUACUCCGGGGAUAACAGGCUGAUACCGCCCAAGAGUUCAUAUCGACGGCGGUGUUUGGCACCUCGAUGUCGGCUCAUCACAUCCUGGGGCUGAAGUAGGUCCCAAGGGUAUGGCUGUUCGCCAUUUAAAGUGGUACGCGAGCUGGGUUUAGAACGUCGUGAGACAGUUCGGUCCCUAUCUGCCGUGGGCGCUGGAGAAUUGAGGGGGGCUGCUCCUAGUACGAGAGGACCGGAGUGGACGCAUCACUGGUGUUCGGGUUGUCAUGCCAAUGGCACUGCCCGGUAGCUAAAUGCGGAAGAGAUAAGUGCUGAAAGCAUCUAAGCACGAAACUUGCCCCGAGAUGAGUUCUCCCUGAGACUUUAAGUCUCCUGAAGGAACGUUAAAGACGAUGACGUUGAUAGGCCGGGUGUGUAAGCGCAGCGAUGCGUUGAGCUAACCGGUACUAAUGAACCGUGAGGCUUAACCUU
RNAcentral lists this ribosomal RNA (2902 nucleotides) under Klebsiella pneumoniae. RNAcentral describes it as "23S ribosomal RNA". It matches the Rfam family "Bacterial large subunit ribosomal RNA". The record is from RNAcentral. Lineage: Bacteria; Pseudomonadati; Pseudomonadota; Gammaproteobacteria; Enterobacterales; Enterobacteriaceae. RNAcentral also lists the same sequence under 3 other names.